Dreissena polymorpha is the source of this 226-nucleotide long non-coding RNA. RefSeq lists it as uncharacterized. The record is from RefSeq and is a predicted model, not a curated record. The transcript is spliced from 2 exons. Lineage: Eukaryota; Metazoa; Mollusca; Bivalvia; Myida; Dreissenidae.
AGAACAGUGAAUGCACAAAAAUGUGCUGUCUCUUCUCAGGACCCUCACAUCACAGCAGAACAUCACAGUGUCAACAGAAGUCAGAAACUGGAAUACUGUAUCUCAUUUUGCAUGAAGCUCAAGAAUUCUACACCUGGAAUGUCAUUAACUCUUGCAAUUAAUAUUAUACAUCACCACAGUUGCAUAACUAUCUUCUUUGAAAAAAAUAAAAUAAAGAUACUUCAGA